Molecule: long non-coding RNA, 350 nt
Filed under: Setaria viridis
Lineage: Eukaryota; Viridiplantae; Streptophyta; Magnoliopsida; Poales; Poaceae
Description: long non-coding RNA (SVIR_LNC006064)
Source: RNAcentral
CCACAAAACACAGGCGGAUACAGGGGGAGGAAUUCAGAGCUCAGGUGCAGAAGAGUUCAGCAGAAUUUCCUCAAACAUUGAGUGCUCAGCCAUACCAAGAUGAUGCAAAAGUAUUUCAUCUUGAUGUCUGAUGAUGGUUUCUUCAGUUCCAAUAGAUCAUUUUGUUCUGAUCCUGCUAAUGUCAGUGGUACAGCACCAUACUCUGGAUGAAAUUACAGCAAGAAAGAAUUACUUUUUUAAGAAAAAAAUUAGCUUCGGGGAGCAAGAUAACACUGGCGUCAUUUCUUCAGUUACCACUUACCAGGCAGGCGAGCAAGCAUCACUGCAUGAGUUUGGACUUCAGACUACAG